RNAcentral lists this ribosomal RNA (236 nucleotides) under uncultured soil bacterium. RNAcentral's name for it is "partial 16S ribosomal RNA". It matches the Rfam family "Bacterial small subunit ribosomal RNA", at positions 26 to 266 of the family's 1533-position model. The record is from RNAcentral.
AGAUUGAACGCUGGCGGCAUGCUUUACACAUGCAAGUCGAACGGCAGCGCGGGGCAACCUGGCGGCGAGUGGCGAACGGGUGAGUAGUAUAUCGGAACGUACCCAAGAGUGGGGGAUAACGUAGCGAAAGUUACGCUAAUACCGCAUACGAUCUAAGGAUGAAAGCAGGGGACCGCAAGGCCUUGUGCUCCUGGAGCGGCCGAUAUCUGAUUAGCUAGUUGGUAGGGGUAAGGCCC